This 1920-nucleotide long non-coding RNA is filed under the name Phoenix dactylifera (date palm). RNAcentral's name for it is "long non-coding RNA (PDAC_LNC007866)". Lineage: Eukaryota; Viridiplantae; Streptophyta; Magnoliopsida; Arecales; Arecaceae. The record is from RNAcentral.
CAUAAUCUCCAAAAUAGGCCACAUGACGAAUGACAGAUCUACGCUAAUCAGUCUUAUUGCUCUUUUAGAGAAAGUGAAAUAACUUUGAGUAAGGGCACACGUCGAAUGUCGCCUCUUAAACAUCAUUCUCUUUCACAGCUUUACCAAUAGAUAGAAGUGACUAGAUUAGGUUCAUCAAUAAACAUGGAAUGGAAUAAAAUUUAGGUCAUAAUUCUUGCUGAUAUGUAGGUUAGUAGUUGGAAAAUGUCAGUUCAUCAAUAAUAGGUUAUCGAGCUAUGCGUCGGUUACAAUUGGGAGACCCCUUCCUCUUGUGGCCUCACCCAAUGCCAAUUUAUAGAUUUGGUUCAAGAAUAUGAAAUGUCACAAUAUAAUUUUUAUCUCUAAGUGAGUCACUAGAGCUAACUAUUGAGUAAAAAGAGGAUAGCUUAGUUUUCCAAAAAAUUAUGCAAAUUCUUAUAUGGCCAAAUUUCUUUCUUUUUUCUUGAUGAAAAAUAGCCAAAUUUUUCUGAGUCUUUAAAAGAGAAAAACAAGCAGUCCUUUGCGAAACGACUGUUCUUGUAUUUGGGUUGAUAAACUGAUAUGUGUUGUAAUUCAGUGAAAAAUGAUAGGCUCCUGAAAUUAUAUUUGCAAAAACAAUAAGGUGCUACCUUACUAAUUAGCUGGUAAGGUCUCUCGGUGGUUGUAACAAAGACCUGAUCUGGGUUCAAUCUCACCUUCAUCAAGAUUUUGGGGGUUAAGGGGUUUGGAAGAGAGCUACUCCUCUUAUAAACUGUUGCCUACAGGCCUCUUCUACUAUCCAAAAAAACAGGAACACAAAAUUUAAAGCUAAUUUCGGGUUUCAAAUAUCCCGUUGCCUCAAUUCAGUUGUGGCAAUCCCUAAUGGUGUAACUAUGCUCCCUCUUCUGGUGUUUCUUUUCCUAACACUUGGUUUUAACAAAUGGUUGCUGUAAUGUUAUAAUGGCUUUUAUAAUAGUUCAACAAGUCUAGCUACUUUUAUCUUGUAGACAUACAUAAUUGUAAUUCAAUACCAGCUGCUCUCGUGGAAUAAUAGCCAUUAUUUGAUAUUUUUCUUGAAUUACAUGAUAAAUUGUUAGAUAUAUUAAUAAUUCUAUAAAGAUGUGAAGAUUUGUUUUUGAGAAUAACAGCAAAAAACACUAACAGUUUUAAUUCAAAACAUAAGUUCACAAACAAUAAUUUUUGUCAAAUGAUAUUAUCAUUGCCACUUAAUUUUUAUUUAACAACUAAUGACAGCCACAUAUUCUAAAAAGUGUCACUUCCAAAUUCGUGACGUAACACAGCCAUACUACUGAGAGGUACAACCUACGAUGACACGAAGCUAAACAUUUUUUUAACUUCCAAAUUCAUCACAAACAAAAUAUAAUAAAUAUAAGUCCAAUUUUAUCAUCCAUUAAAUGAAACAAAUAUUGGUUCAGGGCAUCUAAAUCCAAAUAUAAAAACCAAACCCAUAAUUCUUAAUAUACUAAGCUUCAUAUUCAUAACCACUGAAAAAUUAAAGUUCUGCUAUAUAAAUUGCCAAGCUUACUAGCAUGAACUCCAAGCCUGGACCAUCCUUCGUCUCUAUUGACCCUAUUCGCUUGAAGAAAGAAAAAUAAAAAUAGAGUUAUAUGAGCGACACAGCUUAGUGAGUAAAUCUUAUACUACCUUAUUAGACCAAACAUAAAUUUUUCCAUAUCAAUGCAUCAUUUAAGAAAAAUAAAAGAUAUUUUUUAAAAAAAUACUUCAUAGUAGAAUAUAUUAAACCAAGUCAUAAAGCCAAUAAUGCAUACAUAAAUCAUCCUUAUUUUGUAAACAUAGUUCCAAGUCUAUAUUGCAAAUAAAUUCAUAAAUUAUUCUUUUGCCAUUUAGCCACAACAUAUUUAAAAUAUUGCUCAUUGAUAUUCGUGCUAUGGUCACUUUAUA